This 3622-nucleotide ribosomal RNA is filed under the name Triticum aestivum (bread wheat). Its description in RNAcentral is "partial small subunit ribosomal RNA". The record is from RNAcentral. Lineage: Eukaryota; Viridiplantae; Streptophyta; Magnoliopsida; Poales; Poaceae.
UACGCGGUCGCCUCCAGUGGGGGUGUCGUGGCGCAAAAGCGUCAGAGGGGGGGAGCCUUUGCAGACGGGCGAGCGAGCGAGCGAAUGGGUCGUUCGAAAGGGGUGGAAGGGGGCGGGGCAGGGGAGAGGAGGACCGCCACCGCUGCGCUAGUGCUGUGCCUCUGAAAGACCGUGGGGAGGGGCGGCUAGUGGCAGCGAGGUGCGCGGGACGCCGGUCGGUCUAUUUUCGGACCCCCGCCCCUCUGAGCAUCGGGGAACGACUCGGCCCCCAACGCUCAGCGCCUCUACUUCUUGGACAAGUUCUCGUUCUAGUUCACCGUCGUGGCCAGGUUGCUGGGGCGGAGGAGCAGCGUCGGCGUCAGCAGCAGCUGGAGCGGCCGCUCGAGGGGCAGCCCAUGCCGCGGCCGCGGGCGCGACAGGAGGCGGCGCCGCUACGGCUGCCGGAGGCGGGGCGGGGGAAGGCGGGGCCACCGCUGCUGCGGGUGCCGCCCCCAACCACCCCCUCCCCCUCCGCCUCGCCCACCCCUGCUGAUGUACAUGAGCCUCCUCCUCAAGGUCUACGUCGACCGGUACCGCGACAGCCGCAGGUUGUCGCUGACGCGCCCCCUGGCCCUGUCCCUGGUCUAGUCCCUGCGGUUCGAGUACUCGGAGCCGCCCCCCCUGGCGAAGCGGCGGCCGGCCCUGCUGCCGGUGUGGCGGCUGAGAGAGAGGGCGGCGAUGACCCUGAUGUUGACGGAGCUAAUAGUACUCUUUCAACAGCUACCAAAGAUGCUGUAUAAACUGGGGAGGUACCUCAGGAGAUCCGUCCCCUUCUACGGUAGUGAUCUUCUGGAAGUUUGUCCGUAGCCCCUGGACCCGAAACUCCAGUAGCAUUAGUUGGCACGUCAACUAUGACGGAACGUCCUCUACCUCGUUCACCGCGUUACGUAGAACAACCUAAAGGGACAACGUUUAUAAUGUGAGGAUCAUGUUUCCUAUCGACUAGAACAAUGUCUAUUAGAUCCACCUGGACACUUUCUACGUUUACGAUACGAACGUUCCACCAGCCUCUGUUCAUGAGUCGACUCUUGGAGUGAUGUAUGAUCGAACGACGGUUAACCGACGUAAUUUAAUCCCAACAGAGCAGUGGCACGGGAUGAAAAGUUCUAAGAACGACUAUCACAACCGUAAGGUACGUUUGAACAGUUUCCCUCAUUAAUGUGACCACUACUCCUACUACGACAAUUGUAUUAUUUCCACCUGUUUCUUUCCCUCAAAAACCAUCUAGACUACCGACGAGGACCACGAGAAUAAGGUCGUCUACAGAAUUCAACCUUCCCGUCAAGCAGUUUAAGAUUGGUAUUUGAACCGGUCUUUGGACCUGACUUAGUUUACCGACCCAGUAGUUCAUGGUAAAUAGGAUGAGACCCACGGUUACGUAACGGUGAACUUGUAUUUCCAUUGGUUGAUGGAAACAAUUUGUCACCACUAACCUAUAGCCGGUCAGUUAGACCUAUGCUCUUUCUCCGCCGGUAUUGUGUGAGUGUUUGGAGAAGGUCACCAUGUGGUAGACAAUGACGACGUCUACAAAAACUACCAAGAACCUGUAAUCAAGGAGUAUGCGUUAGCCUGCUCGGCAGCUGAAGACGACCAUGUAGCAGUGUCGUAUUUCAACAUGGGGGUCCACCUCUUGUAGGACCCCGGCCCUUAUAUUUUGAUUCGGGUCCAGUGGUCCUUUUAUGUCUCAGGUCAUUGGAUAAACGACUCGAAUUAGGAAAACCCGCAUAACUCGGUUUCUUUCGAAGUCAUGGUAAGUUACCCGGUCUAUUAUCUUUGUUGCUCAAUGUUUCCGCAUCUCUUUUACAUCAGGGAUCGUGACCUUCCGGUGUCGUUUCUAACCAAUACUUUUUGACCAGGGGAAUGUUACUACAAAGGUUGUUGUUCGUCAUGUUGAUACAAGUCCUGAGUAAACGUGCAUCUUUACAACCACUAUUACAACAUAGUAGCGGCGUCCACGGUGCUAGACGACGUUUAUUAUAAUUAGAAUUAUAACCUCGUGCGUUACUACCUAGUGGUCACAGUCGAGUGUUAUUACUGUCAAAAUACCGACCAAGGAGACGGUACUUCUACGGAAGACAUCGACUAUAACCCUUCCGGCGACUUUACCGAUACGCACCACUAAACUCGUUUCCAUGAUGUCCAAGAUCUGACCUCCUAGUUGGUGGUAAACCUUCUGUGUUUACCCCACUAAGAUGACUUGCUUCCCAAGGCUGAUUAAGUCAAGUCUUGGUUCGUUUUCUUGCACUUUGAUUGAAGCUGCCUUUCGUUCUGGUAUUCUUCAACGGAGGACUAGGUUUCUUUAGAGGUGAACUGUCUAAGUACCUGCACAGCUACGGUAGUUCUUUAAGUCUUAGACAAAGUGGUAGGAGACGGUCCAGUGUGUCCGAACUAACGCACAAGCUACUACAAAGACUCACACUUUAAGAGACCCUUCUAGAACACUAACCACUUGCCUAACCGAAUCCAAGUAUACCACUCCAUAUGGCACGACUAACCUUACCUUGUCUUCAUCGACACUUCUUUAAGAACCUAGUUCUAAAGAUACCGCUACGAAACCUACUUAAAGCUUCACUUCACGCCUAAUACGCAGCUGACGCAGUAGGUUUAUAGCAAGAGAAAUACCCACGACAAUGUGCGGGAGGUUUGAAUAGAUAACAUAGACUCAUAGAAGGUUCCCCUUCAAAUAUAUUCUAGGAAGUGGCAGGACCGACGGUUUAACUGCUCUUCGCCUCCUAAUUCUACCGGUAACUACACCGGUUCCCGUACUUAACGGACGUGUGAUCACAUGGUUGUUAACAAGUGGCCCUAGAAUUUAGUGGAUUGAACGACCAGCUGUUAUUAACCUUACAGUUCCAAACACUAAAACCAGAAAGUGCGAACUUCGUGUCGUGUAAAAAUAGUAGGUUUAGUUGACGACCUUGAGGACUCACCUACCGUGGACUCCAGAACGCCUUACUCGUCAGUUUACUUUUCACGCUACAGAUGUCGAAACCGCAGUAGAACACCCUCGACCGUUGUGAUUCUUACGGCACCCCACCCUACUUGGGCUACGUUCAGCACCCUCGCCAACCGAAGGUCCUAGCUUCCGAACUAUAGGGGUUCCUUUAACUAGGAGAUCAGCGAUCCUAGUAUACCCUCACGACCGUCUUCCUAGGCUUAGACGCGGGAAGCAAACGCGUCAAUUGUUGACGAGACUUCUGCCAUGUUUCCGAACAGUCGGGAAGAGGCCUCUGCGUCUCGGGGGGACACGGGGUUCUCUAGACCCACUUGAGGAGAUGGGGUACUGUCUCCUCUCAAUAGCUCCUUAAGCAAGCAACGACGCCGGACGUUUACACUCGCGCAACACAUAUCAAACUCGCGAGGUCGGGUCUACACCAUCUGUACAGGACGACGGCACCGUUGCGAGGUCACCGUCGGUAUAUCAUGUGGACAAGACAAGUACAACGACAGAGCCCGACAGCGGGUGGCCGUGACUGACAAUAUCUAGGCAAUUGAACACGUCAGGACUUAUUGUCCUCUGUGGUGGUACGUACAACCUGCUUCGGCUAGCUGCAGUGGCGGAACUCGUUUUUUGGAGAACGUC